RNAcentral lists this long non-coding RNA (819 nucleotides) under Nicotiana benthamiana. RNAcentral's name for it is "long non-coding RNA (NBEN_LNC032704)". The record is from RNAcentral. Lineage: Eukaryota; Viridiplantae; Streptophyta; Magnoliopsida; Solanales; Solanaceae.
UCCAAGCUCAUUCCCUUUUCCUUAUCUUAAUUUAGAAAUCCUAAACCGAUAAAUGUACACUGAAAAGCUUCAGUAGCAACAGACACAUAUACGACCCACCCCCUGUAUUUCAUCUUCGUCAUGGACCUAAGUAGUUAGUCCUAGGAGACAAGCUACAACAACCGUUGAUGCUUCUUCAACUCCUCCUCUCACCAUCAGCAGGGAACUAGCCGAAAAACGCACAACCAAAACCCGCCUCUCACCACCAGCUCCUCGCCACUUCGCCCGACCAGCGAAAACUCCAAAACCACCACCUUAUAACCGUUACCUUUCUCACCAGACCCUCUCCAACCAAAGCUCGUCGGAAAAACAAACUCCAGCAGAAAACCACAAACUCGGAGUCGCCGUAGAUCGCCACCAAAACUUGUCAGAAUCUAGCAGUAACCUUCGAACAAUACCCCACGAAACCGGCUAGAUCUCCACCUGAACUCAAAAGUCAGCCGUCACCUUCACUAAAGAGAACGCGCAGAUUUCAUCCAACAAAGGAGCUCUUUAGUUGUUUUCAUUUUUAGAUCUCCAGAAUUGUUAGUUCUCGUUUAGAUUCAAAAAAUUCCGAAACAUACAAACAUUGAAGAAAUUUGUUGAUUCUUCAUUUUAAUUCUUGAUUCUGGUGCUAAAUCAUUGGUGUUCGUUUGAAUUUGGAGUCAUCUUGUGUUUGGAUCACUUUUGGAAUGCCCGUGCGUGUCGAGUUCCAUCCGGGUUCUAGCAUUUUGAGGUCUAUUUUCCCUUAUUUUGAUGUUCUGCCUAAUAUCGUGUUUUCCUUUGUUUCAUAGAUUGGUG